Non-coding RNA from Podarcis lilfordi (Lilford's wall lizard), 142 nucleotides. NCBI's taxonomy places the organism in Eukaryota, Metazoa, Chordata, Lepidosauria, Squamata, Lacertidae. The record is from the annotation of a GenBank genome assembly.
UUUAGACCAGGCUUCCUCAUUCUCAGCCCUCCAGAUGUUUUUGGCCUACAACUCCCUUGCUAGCAGAACCAGUGGUCAGGGAUGAUGGGAAUUGUAGUCUCAAAACAUCUGGAGGGCCGAGGUUGAGGAAGCCUGGUUUAGA